GACGAACGCUGGCGGCGUGCUUAACACAUGCAAGUCGAACGGAAAGGCCCCUUUGGGGGUACUCGAGUGGCGAACGGGUGAGUAACACGUGAGUAACCUGCCCUUUACUUCGUGAUAACUUCAGGAAACUGGGGCUAAUACCGGAUAGGAAUCCUUGCUGCAUGGUGGGGGUUGGAAAGCUUCGGCGGUUUUGGAUGGACUCGCGGCUUAUCAGCUUGUUGGUGGGGUAGUGGCUUACCAAGGCUCUGACGGGUAGCCGGCCUGAGAGGGCGACCGGCCACAUUGGGACUGAGGGAAGGCCCAGACUCCGACGGGAGGCAGCAGGGGGGAAGAUUGCACAAUGGGCGGAAGCCUGAUGCAGCAACGCCGCGUGCGGGAUGACGGCCUUCGGGUUGUAAACCGGUUUCAGCAGGGGAGAAGCUUGUGGUGACGGUACCUGCAGAAGAAGCACCGGCUAACUACGUG
This 465-nucleotide ribosomal RNA is filed under the name uncultured bacterium. Its description in RNAcentral is "partial 16S ribosomal RNA". It matches the Rfam family "Bacterial small subunit ribosomal RNA", at positions 28 to 507 of the family's 1533-position model. The record is from RNAcentral.